Molecule: long non-coding RNA, 453 nt
Filed under: Parus major (Great Tit)
Lineage: Eukaryota; Metazoa; Chordata; Aves; Passeriformes; Paridae
Description: lncRNA (ENSPMJG00000004244.1)
Source: RNAcentral
AGACCAGUCCAAACCAGUUCAGACCAGUUCAAACCGGAGCCAGCUGAAAUGUGGGAUUAUAAAUGGAUCCCAAAAAUCCCCAAAAUCCCGGAGCAAUUCCCUUCUUUUCUUGUGUGAUUGGAGUAAAAUGGGAGCUGAUCCCAGUUCAGACCAGUCCAAACCAGUUCAAACCAGUCCAAACCAGUCCAAACCAGUUCAAACCAGUCCAGACCAGUUCAGACCAGUUCAAACCGGAGCCAGCUGAAAUGCAGGAUAAUAAACGGAUCCCAAAAAUCCCCAAAAUCCCGGAGCAAUUCCCUUCUUUUCUUCUGUGAUUGGAGCAAAAUGGGAGCUGAUCCCAGUUCAGACCACUCCAAACCAGUUCAGACCAGUUCAAAUCGGUUCAGACCAGUUCAAACCGGUUCAGACCAGUUCAAGUUCCUGAGAUAAUAAAUGGGAAAAGCCCAAUCCCCA